Triticum aestivum (bread wheat) is the source of this 135-nucleotide non-coding RNA. The record is from Rfam. NCBI's taxonomy places the organism in Eukaryota, Viridiplantae, Streptophyta, Magnoliopsida, Poales, Poaceae.
CAAAUACUCCCUCCGUCCGGAAAUAGUUGUCAUAAAAAUGGAUAAAAGGAAAUGUAUCUAGACGUAUUUUAGUUUUAGAUACAUCUCUUUUUAUCCAUUUUGAUGACAAGUAUUUUCGGACGGAGGGAGUAGAAA